AAUAAAGUGCCUGAAUAAAGGAUUAUUCUGAUAGAAUAAAUUAUAUAAAUUAACCAUUUAUCUUUAUUA
Molecule: transfer RNA, 69 nt
Filed under: Stenopsyche navasi
Lineage: Eukaryota; Metazoa; Arthropoda; Insecta; Trichoptera; Stenopsychidae
Description: tRNA-Ile
Source: RNAcentral